RNAcentral lists this transfer RNA (62 nucleotides) under Ictidomys tridecemlineatus (thirteen-lined ground squirrel). RNAcentral's name for it is "Spermophilus tridecemlineatus (thirteen-lined ground squirrel) tRNA". It matches the Rfam family "tRNA". From Rfam's summary of the family: Transfer RNA (tRNA) molecules are approximately 80 nucleotides in length. Their secondary structure includes four short double-helical elements and three loops (D, anti-codon, and T loops). Further hydrogen bonds mediate the characteristic L-shaped molecular structure. tRNAs have two regions of fundamental functional importance: the anti-codon, which is responsible for specific mRNA codon recognition, and the 3' end, to which the tRNAs corresponding amino acid is attached (by aminoacyl-tRNA synthetases). tRNAs cope with the degeneracy of the genetic code in two manners: having more than one tRNA (with a specific anti-codon) for a particular amino acid; and 'wobble' base-pairing, i.e. permitting non-standard base-pairing at the 3rd anti-codon position. Lineage: Eukaryota; Metazoa; Chordata; Mammalia; Rodentia; Sciuridae. The record is from Rfam by way of RNAcentral.
GGGAUUGUGGCUCAGUGUUAGAGCACUUGCCUUGCAUGCAUGAGGCACUGGGAUCAAUCCUU